Molecule: long non-coding RNA, 320 nt
Organism: Melospiza georgiana
Lineage: Eukaryota; Metazoa; Chordata; Aves; Passeriformes; Passerellidae
Exons: 3
Source: RefSeq, a predicted model, not a curated record
CUCUGAAUAACCAAUGGCUUUCCCACUGGACUUGUGGCCAAAGCCUGCCCAGGAAUGAUCAAGCAUGUGUUCCUCAGCAAGAUGUGGUCCUCAGCAUUCCAGAGUCACCUGAGCUGCUGUCCCACGUGGUUUUCCUGGAGUGCAUGUUCUUCACACCAGGAAUUUGUGCUUCUCCUGCAGUGCACACCCCACAGAUACAAACACACGAGGGUCUUUUGAAGAACAGCAGUUGCUGCUCCUCAAAGGAAAGAAAAAGAAGCCUUUGCAGAAUCUGAAAAUAUUGGAAUACAUCCUGCAAUUUCCUGGACUUUAUGCUGCCU